Molecule: ribosomal RNA, 430 nt
Filed under: Bacillota bacterium
Lineage: Bacteria; Bacillati; Bacillota
Description: Firmicutes bacterium partial 16S ribosomal RNA
Rfam family: Bacterial small subunit ribosomal RNA
Source: RNAcentral
UAGGGAAUCUUCCGCAAUGGACGAAAGUCUGACGGAGCAACGCCGCGUGAGUGAUGAAGGCUUUCGGGUCGUAAAACUCUGUUGUUAGGGAAGAACAAGUGCUAGUUGAAUAAGCUGGCACCUUGACGGUACCUAACCAGAAAGCCACGGCUAACUACGUGCCAGCAGCCGCGGUAAUACGUAGGUGGCAAGCGUUAUCCGGAAUUAUUGGGCGUAAAGCGCGCGCAGGUGGUUUCUUAAGUCUGAUGUGAAAGCCCACGGCUCAACCGUGGAGGGUCAUUGGAAGCUGGGAAACUUGAGUGCAGAAGAGGAAAGUGGAAUUCCAUGUGUAGCGGUGAAAUGCGUAGAGAUAUGGAGGAACACCAGUGGCGAAGGCGACUUUCUGGUCUGUAACUGACACUGAGGCGCGAAAGCGUGGGGAGCAAACAGG